Molecule: ribosomal RNA, 305 nt
Filed under: uncultured bacterium
Lineage: Bacteria
Description: bacterial SSU rRNA
Rfam family: Bacterial small subunit ribosomal RNA
Source: RNAcentral
CUACCCCUACGGGGGGCAGCAGUGGGGAAUAUUGCACAAUGGGGGAAACCCUGAUGCAGCGACGCCGCGUGAGUGAAGAAGUAUUUCGGUAUGUAAAGCUCUAUCAGCAGGGAAGAAAAAAGACGUUACCUGACUAAGAAGCCCCGGCUAACUACGUGCCAGCAGCCGCGGUAAUCCGUAGGGGGCAAGCGUUAUCCGGAUUUACUGGGUGUAAAGGGAGCGUAGACGGCAAUACAAGUCGGAAGUGAAAUACCCGGGCUUAACCUGGGAACUGCUUUGGAAACUGUAUGGCUGGAGUGCUGGGG